This 14125-nucleotide long non-coding RNA is filed under the name Lotus japonicus. RNAcentral's name for it is "long non-coding RNA (LJAP_LNC000887)". Lineage: Eukaryota; Viridiplantae; Streptophyta; Magnoliopsida; Fabales; Fabaceae. The record is from RNAcentral.
CCUCCAUUAAUGACAAAGGUUCAUUUUACGAAAACUCUUAAACAUUAACUUAAAUUAAAACCCAAAACAUUUAAGACCUGCAUAGCAUUCAUAGGAAUAAUGCCCAUACUUGUGACAAUUGUAGUAAUUGUAAUUUUAUGUUGUUCUUGUCCUGCAGGGAAGUGCUCCUAUAAUCAAUAUAAUUAGGCUAAAAAGCACUUUUGGCCCCUGAUGUUUUAAGUUUGUGCAAAUUCUGCCCCUACUCUAUUUUUGUCGAUGUUUCUACCCCUCAUGUUUUCAAACAGUGCACCGUCUACCCCCCGUCAGUCGGACGUUAAAAAACUAACGGAAUAAGCUGAUUUGGCUUUUUUAAAAUAUUUUUUUGACCUGCCACGUGGAAAUUACAAGUGAAAUUGGAAAAAGGGGGCGUGGGAGAUUCAAACUCAAGACCUGUNNNNNNNNNNNNNNNNNNNNNNNNNNNNNNNNNNNNNNNNNNNNNNNNNNNNNNNNNNNNNNNNNNNNNNNNNNNNNNNNNNNNNNNNNNNNNNNNNNNNNNNNNUCACCUUCAAAUCCUCUCUUUCACCCCCCCAAUCCACUCAGAAACCUCUCCUGAGAAAGCCUGACUGACGGAAGGGGUAGACGAUGCACUGUUUGAAAACAUGAGGGGUAUAAACGUCGACAAAAAUAAAGUAGGGGCAGAAUUUGCACAAACUUGAAACAUCAGGGGCCAAAUAUGCUUUUUAGCCAUAUAAUUAAUAAGAGGUGAAUCAUCAUGAGUAUCAGCACUGUCCCUAUCAUAUGACCAUCAUCCUCACUUUCGAGUGGCAUAGUGAGGGUGUGACGCUCGCUCUCAUCAUCCCCAUCAUCCCCAUCAUCCUUCCAAUUACAAACUUGUAAGGAAAAUAGAAAUUGGCAAAAGUAAUUCAAGCUGUAACAAUUAAAAUCACCUGAUAUUCAUAUUCAGGUCUCUUCCUCUUCCUGUUUAUGCCAGACUUCCUAUAUUUAAUAAAUGCUGCUGCUGCUUUCAGAGGACUCAUUGGGAAGAUUUGUGACAAGGUAGGAAAACUUAUUUGUCCACAUAUCAUUUAACUCUGGAUAAUUAUAUGCCUUCCCAAGACCCUCAUAUAAAUACCAAUUAAUAUCUUUGUAUUUGUUAGGCUGAACAACUUUCAUCUUUGGAAUAGCAAAAACAUUGACAACCUCCAAACCCAGUUGUUUAAAGCAUAUGUCGGGACGAUUCAAACUAACAGUUUGGUAGCAAAUGAUAGGCACCAUGGCAUACUUCACACGCAACUGAUUCACAUCAUCCUGAGGAAGCGCCGGCCUCUCAUAUGGAUUCCAAGUAACCUUGCAAACAUAAAAAUUGACUAUGUUAGAUAAUAUGGAACAAAUAAUGAUAAUAAGGUUAAUAAAAAUUAAAAUGAAACUUACAUCCUCCUCCUUCAUCCGGAAAAAAUAAUUUAAUGUAAUAUUCCACUCUUUUUUGUGUGUUUGGUUUUUAAGUAUGUGUACACCACAUCUAUCCAGGUAAAAUACAAGGGUUAUAUAGGUGGUAAAACAAAUGUGUUCCUUAUGAAGGGGAACCACUCUAAUGCAAAUACCAAUAAGAAAGAAAUAAAGUACAAGAGUUAUUAAAUAAUAUAACUCAUAUAAAUUGAAAUGACAAUCUAAAAAUCUAAAAAAAACUUACUAUCAAGCCACAUGUGAAACAACAAAUACUUUUUUUGCCAUUGCCCAAAACAUUUUUUAUGUGUGCAAGAACAGCUGCUCCCCAAGCAUAUUUAUUAAUUUUUUGUAAAUCUAAGAGCUCCAAAAAGUCUGGCAUAAUAGUCCCUUUCCGAUUGGGAAGAAGUGUUGUUCCUAACAGGUACAUAAUGAAAGCCUUUGCAUGGGCCUCCACAGAAUCAGAAGCAUCACUGGGCAAUUCCUUAAAGUAUAAAGGCAAUUUAUUUACACUGAUUUCACCCUUGCAUGUACCUUUUCUGAGCAAAUCUCUUGCUUGAUAAUCCUUCAAAUUUAAAUGCUUCAUGACUAAGUCCACAGCCUCAUAAGUAAUAUAUACAGACACCUGCCACAAUCAUAUCAAUAUCAAAUUGUAUUAAUUUCUUCAGGCUCAUAUUCAUAUAAUAAAAAAUUGCAAAAUGCAAAAAAAAUCUGAGAUAGUAGCUCACCUGGAUCCCAUCUAUGGGAAGUCCAGUGAUGAAGUAGAUAUCUUUCUAAUCUCAUAUCUAAAAUAAAAUCCCUAACCUCUUUUCCAAGUCGAAAGCAACAUUUUUCCUUAUCAUAAACCUCCAAGAGGGCUUCUAGGGGACCCAAUGGUAAAUGGAAGUUACCUUUGGAAAAGCACUCUUUAACCUUAAGAAACUGAGAAAAACAGGUCAUUUCAAUUUUUUUGGCCACUCUCUCAUGCAUAGACCAUUCACACAGUUUAUUCAUGUGCAUAUCGGAAGAUUUACCCAUAACUAGCUCUCUCAUUAAACAACAAACCUGUCAAAUACAAAACAAUCAAAAUCUCAAUAAAAAUACACAUUAUUAAAAGUUGCAAUCAGAAUUUUGCAAUGAGACAAGAAGGCUUGUGUUGCUUAAAAUAAUGUAGCAAUUUAAUCCUCACAUCUAUUAAAAGUUCCUAAUUACUUCCCCCAACAUUCCAAACCCUAACAACUAAGAAGGCAAUGGAGAUGUCUCCAGAAUUGCUUUGGAAGCACUGGAAGCAAGAUAUGCUGAACAAAAUGCCUCUAGAUGUAGAAAUGAUGGAUGCUCUCCCGUUUUGGAGGUUUGUUGCAAUACAAUCCCCCGCUCUUAUUUAUAAGACCCCAUAUUGCCUGGUUUUAUGUUGUUAUUGUGAUUGUCUUUUAGGGUACUCGAUUUUCUAAGAGCAUCUUGUAUGAAUAUGCUGCUAUGAGGAAGAAAGGAAUGCCUACUUACGAGACUAGUAGGCUAGAAGGGUUGCUUCCUCUUUAUAUAUCUUUGCAAGCUGCAGAACCACAAUAGGCUUUUCCAAAGGAUUAGAACUAAGGUAGUCCAAUACAAUCUGGACAUACUCUCCAAAAAAAUGAAUAUAUCAAAACCAUUUUAAUCUUUCAAAUGUAUAUAUGAAUUCAUAAAAUACAAAGAUACCUACUCGUGAUAUGGAUGUUGUAGAAAUCAUGGGAAAGUCAACAUGUUAACAUCACUGUUUGCAAGAUCACUUCGAGGAUUAUUGUUGGUUGUUGUUCAAGCAACAUGCAAUUGGAGUUUACAAUGAAGAGCGUGCAAAUCUUGUAGCUAUCGGCAAGGAGAUCGCAAAUGAAUGUAGGGGAUUACCUCUUGCAUCACAAGCAUUAGGAGCUCUCUUGCACUUGAAGAGCGAGGAAUAUGAAUGGGUUGAAUUUCAGAAAAGCGCGUUUUGGAAUUUACCUGAUGAAAGAUGUAUUCUAGCCGCCUUAAGGUUGAGCUACUUUCAUGUAACUCCAAUCUUGAGACAAUAUUUUGCGUUUUGUGUCAUGUUCCCCAAAGAUACAAAAAUCAAGAAGGACGAUCUGGUUCAUCUUAGGAUGGUCAAUGUGCUUAUCUCAUCUAAGAAAAACAAGGAGGUAAAAGAUGUCAGUAAUUCAAUUUGGAAUGAAUGGUAUCGAAAAUCAUUCUUAAGAAUAUUGCUACGAUUUUGGAGGAAAUAUUUCUUUCAAGAAGCACGACCAUGUCCGUGAUCUGGCCGAAUUUGUCAUGGGGAAAGAAUGUAUUACUUUGAACAAUACAAACAUGACAAGUUUGUUGGAAAACACACACCAUAUUCUUUACGGUGGCCAAGGAGAGGUAUCUUUAAACCAGGGAACUUUCAAGAAAGUUGAAUCCUUGCGAAUAUUAAAUAACUUUGAACCUUGCUUUAUGGAAGAAUGUGUUACUUUGGACAGUACAAACAUGACAAAUUUGCAGGCAAACACACAGCAUAUUCUUUACUGUGGCUAGGGAGAGUUAUCUUUCAACCAAGUAACUUUUAAGAAAGUUGAAUCCUUGCGAACAUUGUGUAACUUCGAUCCUUGCUUUAUAGAAAAAUAUGCUUGCCUACCAAAACACUGCUCUCUUCGAGUAUUACAAACAUGUUCUUUCAAUUUAUCAUCCCUUAGAAGAUUAAUUCAUUUGAGGUAUUUGAAGCUUAAUGUGAUUGACAUAAAAAUCUUGCCCAACCCAAUUUAUAGCUUGCACAAAUUGGAAAUCUUGAAACUGAAAUGUUUGCGCAAACUUAUUUGUUUACCCCAAACACUUGACUCGGUUACAGAAUAAGGCAUAUAUACAUAAAUUAUAGACAAGACUCAUCACCGAUUUUGACACGAUAUUGACACUCUGACACAGCUAGUUUUUAAAAAGUAGGACACUAUGAUAUUGCUUAUAUACAUAAAUGUGCAUGUUGCGUGUUUAUAGAUAGAUAGAUAGAUAUAAUGAAAUUCACAAAGUCAAUAGAAAUUAAUCUCUUUAUAAACAGGGGCGGAGACAGGGGGUGGCAUACAGAUGCCAUGGCUAACUCUCUUAAAAAAAAAUUAACAAUAAUGAACAAUUUAUUACAUACUCUAAAUUAAGUGAUGAUACCAUAUUUUCUUUGCGCCCAUUUUCUCAAGAUAUAAAUUUCUUUACUUUAAUCUCAAUAUAUAAACAAUAAAAACUUGUGUAUGCUCGAUGAUGGUACACUACUAAAGCGGGGUAAGAAGAGAAAAUAGAUAAAUACUUUAGAUGACAAUUAAUAGUUUGUCAAUUUUUAAAGAUAAAGUGUAUACGUGACUUUAGAAAUCUGUAUGUUUUUUAAUAUUUAAUUUUGGCCCCUGUCAACUUAAAAGUCUGCCUCCGCCACUGUUUAUAAAAAAACAUGAAACCAAUUUCCUAAACUCUAUGUGAACUUCAUAAAAAUACUAUAAGAUACCAUUUUACAAAGUAACCUCUUUGUCUAAAAAAAGUUAAUCUAGCUAAUAGUUUUCACCUCCUUCUUGAUCAUCACCGGUGAAAAGUAUAACCUUUAGUUUCAUUCAUCAAGUGAAAAAUGUAACUUCUUUCAUGGUUUGACUUAUAAAAUUAUUUUUUGAAAACUAUAAGUGUCCUAGAGGUGUGCGAGCUAAGAAGAUGUAUCAGCUCAAGUGUCUAAGCCAAGAAGAUGUGUCGGCUCAAGUGUUCGAACCACAAAAAAUAUUUUCUUAUUCAAACACUGCGAAGAAGCGUCAAAUUUUAUUAUGUAUGUAUUUGGGUUAAUGGUAAGGGAGUUUGAUUUAAGUUCCUCUGAGGACUAUAUUACUAAACCAUGAGAGAAAAAAGUCCACACCUUACCUGAUCCAAGUCCUAGAUUGCUCUUUGGAUCUAUUUGUUUGUGCAGGAAAAACAAGGCUCAUAAUUUCCCGCGUCAACUACACAUUAUGCAAAUGAACGAUAUCUUAGUAUAUAAACAAAUGAACGUAACAUAUUUAUUGGCUCGGUGUCAUUGGCGGUUGUGUCUGUAAGAGUGUGGGAAGUCCCCUAAGUGAGACCUCUGAUCAUGUGGGUAGCCUUUUUGGCUAUCCCAUAUCUUAGUAUAUAUACGCAUUGUCUUGGCCUUCUUGUGGUCGGUCAGUCGUGAGCCGGGACGGGAUGCAUGUCUCUUUCAUGGUUAUUCAGUAUGUCCUUCAGACAAGUUCCUGGGUGCACACCUUUAGCUUAGCGAGUUGCUUUCGGAUCCGACGGCUUUGUAUUUGGCCGAAACAAUUUUAUAAUAGAAGAUAAUAUGAUACAUCAAGGUAAAAAGUUAACGAGCUCCACCAUUUUUGUUGGCUAGGACUCAAAUCACCUAAAUCGUUUUUCUGAUCAUACUAUCUUUAUUCCUUAUUAACUGUUUCGAAAGAGAAAAAACAUACAUAUUAAGAAAUACAAUUAAUGUAGUUAACUUUCAAAAAAUAUUAUUUAUUAUUUUAUUUUACCAUUUAAAAUAUAUUUUAUCUCAUCUUAUUUAUUAUCAAGUAAAUCAUCAAUUAAUACCCUAUUAAAAUUCUAAACAAGUUUGUUUAUGGAAAUGAGCAAAGUAAAAUUCCCUUUUAUACCAUGUAUAUAGGUGAUUCACCUUACAAUAGUUAGACAGGUUAUCAACUAAAUUAGAGUAAGCACUUUCUUCUUCUUCUUCCAUGAGGAACAUAAACCAAUAUCUUCUAUUCAUCGUGAUCACUACACUGGUGGCCCUAUCAUCAGUGUUAGGUGCUGCUCUCAAACGCUGUCCAGAUUGUGGUAAAACUCAGGUCCCAUACCCGCUGAGCACCGCACCAAACUGCGGCGACCCAUCCUACAAGAUUCGCUGCACCGGAGGCAUGCUCUUCUUGGACUCCAUCAGCGGUUCCGCUUACGCGAUUACCGCCAUCAACCCUUCGUCACAACGACUGAUCAUUCUCCCACCGGGCCUCGCCAGCAGCAGCAUGUGCGUGUCCACCGAUUUCCAAAACGGAGGGAUGUGGAUUGACAGCAACUCACCCUUCAACAUCACCUCAAGCAACACGGAAAUUCGCCUCAACUGUUCCAAGGAAGUCUUCACCGAAACUGCGUGGAACUGCUCCUCGUCGAGCAUUUGCCACAAGUACCUUAAGGAAAAUGCCGCGGCGGCGAAGGCGUGUGGGGGCUUGAUAUGUUGCGAUCUGAAGACUGGUGGGUCUUCCACUGCUUAUAGGUUGAGGGUCAGUGGAGAUUGAGUGGCAGUUGCCGGAGGAGCCGCCAUGCAGAGUAGUUGGGGACUGCUUGGGUUUGGCAAACUCCGAUUGUUUGCCGGCUGCCGGAGGAGGAAGGAAGUGCUUGUGCAAGUAUGGCUUCUUGUGGGAUCCUGUAAAUGUAAUAUGUCAAAGUAAGAAAGGUAAGACACUUCAAUUCUUUUUAAUGGAUUUCUGAAGUUAAUUACGUUUUUAGUCACUGAUGUUAUGAUACUCUACUUUUUGUUCUUGAAUCUAGUCACCUACAUUUUAGUCACUUUAGCCUUAAUUUUUAAUAAUUAUGAAAAGUAGUAUUUAUUAGUAAUAAAUCUGUAAAAUGUUUUAUUAACUUCAAUUUUCUAAAUUACUCGUGAAUUUUUUGUUAAAUUAAUAUUUUUCAAAAUUAUAAUAACUCUUUCAUAUUAAAUAUUAAAGUAGGUUUGAAAAAAAUAUUGAAUAUUUCAUUUAUUCUUUGGUAUUAUAAAGUGAUUUAUAAUUUAAUUAGGACAAAAGGAACUCUCAAAAAUGAGAAAUAGGCAUGAAAUGAGUAAUGCAUAGCAGAAAGAAAGAUUUGUACUAAUAAACAAAGCAUUAGAACAAUUGCACAUCCAUUUGCUUUGCAUGUAAAUACUAAAAUAAAGAAUUGAAAGUACUUUAAGAUGCAUGUUACUUAGAAAUAGCGCUUCAAGCUUUUUUCUAGGGGGAACGGGUUUUGGAGUUGGGGGUGUGGGAUGCAAUUUGUAACUCUAAUCAUUUUCAUAUAUGCCAUGUAAUUCUUACAUUGAGAAAUUUAUUUAGUGAUCAUAUAAAAUAUAUUUUUUUUGGUUGCAAGAGGAAAUUUAAUAGAAGACCAAAACUAACUAAUAGUAGCAUCUAGAUACAUAGAUGCAUAAACAAAGGAGGGAGGUGUAGCCCAAACUUGAACCGGAGCCCCUGUUCGCGCCGCUUCCCACCUUUAUAAUCAGCUGUCUUUUUUUAUAUAAAAAAAGAUAAUAUAUUACUAGAAAAUCUUCACAACAAACGCCCCGGCCUUCCAUGUAAGAGAAUGAAAACCUCCCAAAUUCAAACAACAACCAACCCAAACAAAUUAAUCCAAGGUUUUUAGUUUUUCUAUAUUAUCAGUUGUCUUUCUCUAUUAAUUGGUUUUAUUUUAUUUUUAUUGUUUUAGUUUUAGAAAAUCGAUUCCGAUGUAAAAAAAAAAAAAGUUUUAGAAAAUCGAAAAUUGUCCAUUUCUUAAUGUAAGAUGUUGGUGAUCACUACAACUGGAAUGCUAUUUUUUUUAGAUGCCAAUUCCUGUCAGCAUGGAAGAUGCCAGCACCGUAGGAAGAAAACUCCCCUCAUUGGAGGUAACUUCUUCGGAUCCAUACAAAUUAUUCAGAUUUAUAGUAUAUAGUUAUUUCUUCAAGAAUAGAUUUUCUACGACUAUUGAUGUUUUGAGCCAGGUGUCGGGGACAAAUACACUGAAAUUUAUCGAGUUUUGAGCAUGCAUGUGCUUGGAAGUGAACACAUCGUACUUGUCUUUGAAAACGCAAAGACAUUGAACACAUCGUACUUGUCUUACUUUAGGAAUACUCCCUCCAUUCUCUAUAUUAACGAAUACUACAGCAAUCUAAAAGGAUUGUUAUUUAAGAUUUUAGUAAAAAAGAGUAAAAUGAUAAUUAUUGAUAGUAUAAUGUUAGUAAGUCAUAAUUAAUGUUUUUUCAAAAUUGUAAAAGUGACAAAUAAAUAGAAAUAUAAAGAGAAUCAAAAUAAUGACAACUAUAUAGAAAUAAAGGGAGUAUAUAUAACCCCUAUAUAAUGUGGUUGUCUAAAUGAUCCAAGAAAAGUUUGAGUUAAAUAACUCAUCAUUCAAUCACAUUGGAGAUAAGUGAGUUGAAAUUUCUAUAUUUUAUUUAUUAAUUUAUUUCCAACUCAAUCUCCAAUAUGAUUGCAUGAUGAACUAUUUAACCCAAACUUUCACAUGGGUCAUUUAGACAACCUCAUAUAUAAUUGGAAUAUAUAAGGCUUAAGAAUUUAAGAAAAUAUUCUGUAAACACAUGCAUAGAACAUGCAUGGCCAACAAAUAUUUAAAUGGGAAAUAAAAUGAAGAGAGAAGUCAUGGAUGUGAAAGAUUAUAUAAGGGAGAUAGAGAGGGAAAAAAAGAGAUUGUAUGUUACAUAUAUGCACUGUUUGUAUAUAUGAGUAUCAUUACUUCAGAUUUAAUGAUAUAUAUAACCACUCAAAUCUCCCCACAAAUACAUGUGUAUCACUUGUUCUUCUAGAGAAAUGAGAUAAAUUACCUAAAUCUUUUUGUCUCAAGUGGUGGUGCAAGUCCGGAUAUAACUUUUCUAUCUCAAAAAGUUUUACGUUGACAUGGCAUGGAUUUACCGAUAGAAGACUCAAUGAGAGUGAGAGAGAGGGAAAAAAGAGCAUCUCCGGGACUAAGAAAAACUUAAGUUUGAAUAAUCAGUAAUAAGUACAUAAACGAAUUGAACGACUACACCUAAAUUGAUAGGCUUGAUGUCCAUCAUAACAGUCUCACAAAGCCUUUAGGAAGUCUUUUGGGAGAUCUUCCAAGAUCUUGGUUGUCCCUAGACAACCUCGGAUUUACUUUUUGGUAAGACAAAUGGAUUAAUAAGAAGUAUAAGGGGUGUAUCAACCCAUUAAAAAAAGUCCAAUUAAAUGAUAAGCAUAUAGUUAUAAUACAUAACACAUUUUCCAGGCAUCAAACACGUUACAAUUAAGCUUUAAAUAGUCGUUAAUGAGUAAGUCAAAGUCUCGUCACUCAGCCAUAGCUGUGACGAGAUGUUUCUUACCUAAGUCGCCUCAUCGGAAACUAUGGUGCUCACUUGAUUGUGAGACCUUUCGGCCAGCGGAGAUGCUAUUAUUGGGGCCUUUUGCCCUUUUGGAAUACCACUGAUUUUUUUUUCUCAUAGCUUGGAACUGUUUUAUGUCUUUUUAUUCUCAUUUCACAUGUUUCACUUAAUCAUAUAAAAUGUACAUAAAAAAAUUGAUGCAUGAUCCGGUUAACUACUUAGUAAAGUUUUUUACAUAUUUAUCUUCUCCUUUUUCAUCACAACAAUGUGAAACAAAAUAUUACGUUUCUAGAGACCCACAUAUUUAAUAGUCAUAAGAAGAAAUAGAUACAAUAAUUUUAACUUGGUAUUAAGGUUUCACAUGAAAGCAUACCAACCAGAAGUUUCAAAAGGUUAUGCACUGCUUCAUUGUAUCAGAGAGAAAAGUUCAUAGAAUAUAUUUUGAUGAAUUUGAAAUCUCAGGUUUAGCAUUGGCUGGGGCCACCAUGCUAAUAGGCUCUUUGAUUAUGGCAUUGGUCUUUUACCUUAAGAGGCGAAGGAUGAAAAGAGAAACCCAAGAAAGCAUAAACAAGGCCCGCAACAUAUUGAAUACAGACAACUCUAGUGGCAAAUCCGCAAAAAUCUUCACCAUGAAAGAGAUCAUAAAGGCGACCAACAACUUCUCCGAUGAUAACCUCCUAGGUGCUGGUGGCUUCGGCGAGGUCUUCAAAGCAACGCUUGAUGAUGGAACCAUUACCGCCAUCAAGAGACCCAAGCUUGGCAAUACCAGAGGCAACGAUCAAAUACUCAACGAGGUCAGAAUACUCUGCCAGGUGUGUUAUUUUUAUAUUUUGUUGAAUAAAAAUUAGAAAAACAAGACGAACAAUACAAAAAAUGAGAAAAAUAUUCUAUUAUUUUUUCAUCAGUUGCUCCUCCAUUUAUAUAUAAUAGAGUAGGAGUAACACAUAAUCCAUUACAUAGCUGCUACGUACUAGCUAAAAUAAUAAAUAGACCUAUUAAUGAUAAUGUGAAAUUUCCAGUAAUUGUAUGAGGGAAUAAUAGCCCUUCAACAAAAAAAUAAAGAUUUUUAGCCCAUUAAUAGUAACCCACACCCACAAGCAUGCGUGUGCCAAUUUUUUAUUUUAAAAAAGAGGCAGAAACAAACAACGGGAUAUAGCCCAAUUUUUUCAUUCUGGGCUAGGCCCUCUAUGAAUGAAACAUCUCUCCUCUUUGACAAAAAAAAAAAAAGAGGAAGAAUAAAAUUAUAAAAGAUUAAUGGUCAAAUUUGUCUCUGGUUUUGUAAUUUUGUAAGCGAGUUUGAUUUUAGUCUUUCGGUGGUAAAAUAACGUUUAGUGACCGUUAUUUUUAUAAUUAUUGUAUGUUUAUUACCACAAUUAAAUGUCAUUUUUCUUCGAAGGACUAAAAUCAAAUAUGUUUACAAAAUUAAGAACUAAUUUAACCAUUUAUCAAAAUAUAAAAUAUCUAUAAAAAUUAUUGGGCGGGAAAAGACUUCAAUUUUUUUUAUGUAAAAGUACAUACAUAUAAUUAAUAAAGAAAUUAAAUUCGGGAGUUGCGGCUUCUAUCAACCUUUUUAUAUACGUUCCUGGUACAUUUUAGCGUGGAUUAAAUCACUUUCUUUUUUCUAAUCACUUUUAAUGAUAUACGUAUCGCAACGGUAAUCAAAAAUAAUGUUAGUUAAUUUUUUUUUUUGAUAAUCCGUGAAUUAUAUAUUGAAAUGAAGUACAAGGGUUACUUCAACCCAAUAAAAAAAAUAAAAAAAUAAAGUAAGAGAUCAAAUUAAAAUUACAACAACUUAAAACCCAACCAACAACCAACUAGAGCAUGAGCACACCCAUCUAAUUAAACCCCUUGCUCUUGAAGGUUAGACCUUACAAAAAGUGUCUCAUAAAAAUCUUCCAAGGAAAAACUCAAUUGAAAUAAAAAUUUAUGAAUGAAAAAGAGUACACCAAAUGUAAAGCUUUAAGUCAACCUCCUAGAAGAUCCAAACAGAAUGAGAAAUCCGAAUGCCCAAAGUCCCUGAGAAAGUCCACGUUUGCCGAGUUGGAGCAAAACCAAUUUCCCAAAAUGCAUGAAUGAAUGGUACCAGCUUCUUCCUAGCAUCACGUUCACCCCUCAAAAGCCAGAAACAUAGUAUACCUGCCACAAGCACACCAACCCCUAUCAAUGAAUUGAUUUUAAGCACAAAACUGGAUUGGAACACCACUCAGAAAAUGAUUGUUGGAAUCCCCGCGCUCUUGUGGAUAGCCACUUCCAAGACCUCACUUGAAUUAGUUCAAAGACCUUCCCUGCAACAAAUUGCUCCUCCCUAAAUAUCAGAUUAUUCCUUGCAACACCUGACCAUAGCCUUCUACUAAUGUUAGUUAAUGAAUAACUAGUACAAUUUUUCAUAUUUGCGAACCUGCAUUAUAUUCUUUUAUUCUCUAAUUAUUACUAAUUAUUAGAGACUUGAUUUUUAACAAGGUUAACCACCGGAGCCUCGUGAGACUCUUGGGCUGUUCCGUGGAGCUUUCAGUGCCACUUCUGAUCUACGAGUAUGUCUCCAAUGGAACCCUUUUUGAGCACCUUCACUGCACCACUUCAGAAAAAUGGAUUCGUCUUGGAUGGCACGUUAGGCUGAGAAUCGCGCACCAAACCGCUGAAGGGCUUGCCUAUCUCCACAAUGCAGCCAUACCAACAAUCUACCACAGGGAUAUCAAGUCCAGCAACAUUCUCUUGGAUGAAAAUCUUGAUGCUAAAGUUGCUGACUUUGGCCUUUCAAGGCUAGCUGUAAGUGAAGCUACUCACAUCACAACGUGUGCUCAAGGAACCUUGGGUUAUCUCGACCCUGAAUACUAUGUCAACUUUCAGCUCACAGAUAAGAGUGAUGUGUACAGUUUUGGGGUGGUUUUGUUGGAGCUGCUGACUUCUAAAAAGGCGAUUGAUUUUAACAGAGAAGAGGAGGAUGUGAACUUGGUGGUUCUGAUCAAGAGGGUUUUGAAGGAAGAGAGGUUGAUGGAAGUAGUUGAUCCGAUGCUGAAAACUGGUGCUAAUAGACUUGAGUUGGAGAGUAUGAAGGCGUUUGGGUUUCUCGCUGCUGCGUGUUUAGAUGAACGAAGGCAAAAUAGGCCCUCAAUGAAAGAUGUUGCUGAUGAGAUUGAGUACAUUAUUAGCCUUGUUGCUGAUCUUAAGGCUAAGGUCUAAUACUCUAAUUAGUUCUGGGAGGUGAUCCAUCUAUAUAUUCCUAAUUUGAAUAUAUAUUCCUGUUAGCUAGUGUGCAUGUUCAAGACAUGAGGAAGAUGAAUCUACGUUAGCGUGGGAGAUGAUGACAAAGAAAAUUAAAAAGCGAGGAGGAAAAAAUUGAGAUGGGGAAAUAUGAGUUUUACUACACCAGUAUUUAUCUUUUUUUCCAACACAAGUAUCCUGCAUAGGAGGUCAUGGGUGAGACUUUAAUUUAUUUAAAGAAAAUCAAGCAUGUGCAACUUGAAUUAACCACUUUAUGUUUACAUGCGCAGUUUUAUUACAGGUUUAAUCAAUGUUAAUGCUGGUACUCUUAUUCAAAAAAAAUCUUGGUACCCUUAUUUUAAGGAUUUCGUGAUCACGGGUUUUCUUACUUUAUAAUUCUCAAAUUUAGUCCCUAGUUUGGUAAUUUUGCAAUUUUAGAACUCUAAUUUUCUUUAGGAAUUGUUAUUGUCAUGAGUCAUCACCCCACAACUAUUCAUGUCAUCCUUAAAUUUGUAAAAUCCGAAAAAAAAAUCCUUAAUAUUUUUUCGCUCGUACUUUUAAAGUGUGUCACAUUCGUACUCUCAAAGUGCGUUAGAUUCACACUUUAAAAGUGCAACUGUUACGCACGGUAAGAGUAUAAAAAAAAACAAUAUCAAGGAUUUUUGCAAGAUUUUCAUUCUGUCUUUCGUUAAACAGAUUUCCAGUCCAACGUUAUGGAAAUGUAACGCUCCCUACCACCGUAUAACGAAUAAAAAUCAUGUGCUUUGUAAAAUGUGACUUCUUGAGUAUUAUGAUGCCUGAAAUUUUUUUUCUUGACGUUGAUGUCAGUAUACCAUGUAUGAAUAUAUUAUUUUCGAAUUCAUAAUUUUAGAUCUUUUUUGAAGGUAACUUUUGAGACCUUGAGAUAGCAAAGCCUAUGGAUAACACAAACUUUAGAUAAGAAUACGCAAAGGAAGGAAGCAUAAGCCCAAUUUUAAAAAACAGAGAAUAGUACAGAGAUAUCAAAUAUAGCAACUUCCAUUUACAGCAUACCUUGUCAUCGAUGAAUCAAAAGGAUUCAUGAUUUAAAUUUUUUGAUAAGCUACAAGAUAUUCACUCUAAUACACAUUCUGACUGCACUAAAAAGUUUUGAUACAACAGGUAAAAACGAGUAGAAUCAUACACGUCACACCAUUGGCUCCAUAACACCAUGUUUAACAGAAGUAACAAGUGCAUGUAUAUUUUGGCGUACUCAUUUCUUCGUGACUCACACCGCACCAGGGGAAAAGACCCUAUCUAACAAAGAACCAAAUAAUCAUCACAAAGAAGCCAAGUCCAGAAUGUAGGAUGAUAUUACACUAUUUGGAGGGACAGAUCAAAUAUAGGCAAACACUUAAUUAACAACUAUUCAUUUCCUAAGUUUAAAGAACCAUCUUUCAUCAACUUCAAGCUCAAGCUAUUGAAUCUUCCACGAGAGUAAUGCCUAGAUGCUUUUCUCCAAUCCGUUCC